This 492-nucleotide ribosomal RNA is filed under the name uncultured bacterium. Its description in RNAcentral is "partial 16S ribosomal RNA". It matches the Rfam family "Bacterial small subunit ribosomal RNA", at positions 29 to 507 of the family's 1533-position model. The record is from RNAcentral.
AGUGAACGCUGGCGGUAGGCCUAACACAUGCAAGUCGAACGGCAGCACAGUAAGAGCUUGCUCUUACGGGUGGCGAGUGGCGGACGGGUGAGGAAUACAUCGGAAUCUACUUUUUCGUGGGGGAUAACGUAGGGAAACUUACGCUAAUACCGCAUACGACCUACGGGUGAAAGCAGGGGAUCUUCGGACCUUGCGCGAUUGAAUGAGCCGAUGUCGGAUUAGCUAGUUGGCGGGGUAAAGGCCCACCAAGGCGACGAUCCGUAGCUGGUCUGAGAGGAUGAUCAGCCACACUGGAACUGAGACACGGUCCAGACUCCUACGGGAGGCAGCAGUGGGGAAUAUUGGACAAUGGGCGCAAGCCUGAUCCAGCCAUGCCGCGUGGGUGAAGAAGGCCUUCGGGUUGUAAAGCCCUUUUGUUGGGAAAGAAAAGCAGCGGGUUAAUACCCCGCUGUUCUGACGGUACCCAAAGAAUAAGCACCGGCUAACUUCGUG